Molecule: ribosomal RNA, 253 nt
Filed under: uncultured bacterium
Lineage: Bacteria
Description: partial 16S ribosomal RNA
Rfam family: Bacterial small subunit ribosomal RNA
Source: RNAcentral
GACGUAGGGCGCGAGCGUUGUCCGGAUUUAUUGGGCGUAAAGAGCUCGUAGGCGGCUUGUCGCGUCGACUGUGAAAUCCCGCGGCUCAACCGCGGGCUUGCAGCCGAUACGGGCAGACUAGAGUGUGGUAGGGGAGACUGGAAUUCCUGGUGUAGCGGUGAAAUGCGCAGAUAUCAGGAGGAACACCGGUGGCGAAGGCGGGUCUCUGGGCCAUUACUGACGCUGAGGAGCGAAAGCGUGGGGAGCGAACAGG